CACUAAAAUAUUUUUAGAGUAAUAUGAUAUUGUACUCAGCCUCACUCCUGUCUCUGCAUUGCCUGCCUGUUGCCUUUUACUUUCAAAGCUGGUGGUACAGGUAAACACUUCAAAGAUUGAGGAAGAGGAUGCACUUGAGCUCCCCUCAAAGCACUUUAGAGAGGAAGUACAACUGACCCAUCAGUGAAAUUCUCUAUACAGCAAAUGCUGGUGGGAGCCGUAACACUUAGUGUAAGGACUCUGUUGUAGGCUGGAGGAAGAGGAAGACUGCAAUAAACAGGACUACUGGUGCCUGAAAGGAGCUACAAUUUGACUGUAUGUGUCAAAUAAAAGGUAUGCUCAAUGCUGGCAUAUAUGCCUUUGGCCCUUAGUUUCCUGCAAGUUACACAGUGUGCCUUUCACAAACAGUUAAUCUCUUGCACUAAUGCUGCUGGGAGGAU
Tyto alba (common barn owl) is the source of this 440-nucleotide long non-coding RNA. RefSeq lists it as uncharacterized. Lineage: Eukaryota; Metazoa; Chordata; Aves; Strigiformes; Tytonidae. The transcript has 3 exons. The record is from RefSeq and is a predicted model, not a curated record.